UGCGCCUUGCCAGCCGCUCAGAAACUACAAAGGAAGUUCGACGGGGGCCCGCACAAGCGGUGGAGCAUGUGGUUUAAUUCGAUGAUACGCGAGGAACCGUUACCUGGGCUCAAAUGUAUGUUGACGUAUUCUGAAAGGGAUACUUCUUCGGACAAUAUACAAGGUGCUGCAUGGUUGUCGUCAGCUCGUGCCGUGAGGUGUCGGGUUAAGUCCCGCAACGAGCGCAACCCUUGCCUUUAGUUGCCAGCAGUUCGGCUGGGCACUCUAAAGGGACUGCCGGUGUUAAACCGGAGGAAGGUGGGGAUGACGUCAAGUCCUCAUGGCCUUUAUGACCAGGGCUACACACGUACUACAAUGGCCGAUACAAAGGGCAGCGACACUGCGAGGUGAAGCCAAUCCCGUAAAAUCGGUCUCAGUCCGGAUUGGAGUCUGCAACUCGACUCCAUGAAGUUGGAAUCGCUAGUAAUCGUGGAUCAGCAUGCCACGGUGAAUACGUUCCCGGGCCUU
RNAcentral lists this ribosomal RNA (507 nucleotides) under uncultured Desulfobulbus sp. Its description in RNAcentral is "bacterial SSU rRNA". It matches the Rfam family "Bacterial small subunit ribosomal RNA", at positions 903 to 1382 of the family's 1533-position model. Lineage: Bacteria; Pseudomonadati; Thermodesulfobacteriota; Desulfobulbia; Desulfobulbales; Desulfobulbaceae. The record is from RNAcentral.